RNAcentral lists this ribosomal RNA (292 nucleotides) under uncultured bacterium. RNAcentral's name for it is "partial 16S ribosomal RNA". It matches the Rfam family "Bacterial small subunit ribosomal RNA", at positions 505 to 796 of the family's 1533-position model. The record is from RNAcentral.
GUUUCAGCAGCCGCGGUAAUACAGGGGGUGCAAACGUUGCUCGGAAUUAUUGGGCGUAAAGCGCGCGUAGGCGGCCACUUAAGUCGGAUGUGAAAGCCCCUGGCUCAACUGGGGAAGUGCACCCGAAACUGAAUGGCUUGAAUGCAAAAGAGGGUCGCGGAAUUCCCGGUGUAGAGGUGAAAUUCGUAGAUAUCGGGAGGAACACCGGUGGCGAAGGCGGCGACCUGGGUUGACAUUGACGCUGAGGCGCGAAAGCGUGGGGAGCAAACAGGAUUAGAAACCCGUGUAGUCC